UCUAAAACUAAACCCUUUUCUUACGCUAUCUACAUGAACAUUUCUAAUCUCUGACGUUUCCUUUCAGUGUACUGAGGACUCACUGAUCUACACUACCAGCUCAUGCUCAACGUUACUGAACAACAAAGUAAUCCGACAAUCAGACUGGACCCGGUCAUGUUAGAUACCAGAGGAAGACGAAAAUAUAAUUGAUUCUGUACUGAUGCAUAACUUCGCUCGGAACGCGGCAAGAAUUAACAAUGGAAGAAAAUACUACAGACUUGUUUAUUAACGAUAAACUUAUUUUAGUUUUUAUGAAAUAGCGAUUGAAUAAAAAUAUUAGGUAUA
RNAcentral lists this long non-coding RNA (327 nucleotides) under Leguminivora glycinivorella. Its description in RNAcentral is "uncharacterized LOC125233547". Lineage: Eukaryota; Metazoa; Arthropoda; Insecta; Lepidoptera; Tortricidae. The record is from RNAcentral.